Molecule: long non-coding RNA, 1441 nt
Filed under: Coturnix japonica (Japanese quail)
Lineage: Eukaryota; Metazoa; Chordata; Aves; Galliformes; Phasianidae
Description: lncRNA (ENSCJPG00005005333.1)
Source: RNAcentral
AGCAGGUUUUAAGAAGAUUAAACACGCUAAGAAAAUUGUUUUAAAAUAACAAUGUAACAGGAUAUUGUAAAUUAUUUUGCAGCAGUCUGUCACACCACGUCACCGUAAUUCUUCAAUAUUUAAUUAAAAACCAAAACAACAUAAUAUUUAAAUCCUGUCAAGAAAACUAAUUGGAUACAGGGACCAGCUGCUGGAGAAGUUUGGAUGUCAACUUCAAAUGAUUUUAUGCAAAUUGCAGAAAGAACAGCGCUGCCAUCACCACCUCCACCGUUAAUAAAUCCCAACAUGGACUCCGCGCCUCCACCACCCAGCCCAUGGGGACAAGCUGCCACGCGUGAGCCCUGCUCUGUGCAAGUCAGAGCUGCCUGCUGCUGGGUUGGAAGGGGCCACCAGGGGCCAUUUCAUCACUUGCCCACUCACACUGCUGUAAAUUGCGUGUAACUGCAGGCUACACAUUGACACAGAGGUGGUGUCGGGGAGAACGGAGCUUGGCAACCUCAGGAAGAAUUAGAUAAGCUGCAAAGCAGAGGGGCGAUCAGGAGGUGAUGAAAGAAGCACAGUAGGAAAUUCUGAGCUGCAGAAUGUGACAGUUUUACAGAAGCCUUUUUCCUUUCCUUUUUUUUUUUUUUUUUAAUUUUUUUUUUUAAACUUUUUUUUUAAACUUUUUUUUUUUUUUUCCCAGAGAUUUUAUUUCCAGAGCUGGUGUGGUUUUAUGGAAUAGCUACAAAGAGAAAAGCUGGCCUGGCUUCUCCUGUUUCCACUGCGUGGCCCCCUCCUCGGAGGACUUACUUGUGAAUUACACUUACAGAAGUGAGAAGAGAUUCAAGCAGCGCAUUUACAGCUACACUGAGCAGGGAACAGGGGCCAGCAGCACCAGUCGGUGGUUUUGGCAUUGGGGCUGCUCCCGCAAAGCUGCAUUCCCUACUUUACUGUUGCAUGGCUGCAGAGCAGGGCCCAGCUCGUAACAUCUUCCCUUCUUCACAAAGUACUUAAAUAUGAUCUUUGCUUGCAACAACUUCAUUGAGGCAUUUAAAGCUAAGCAGAUGCUCCAGUGUUUUUCUGAGCCAGGUCCUUGGUUUGAUAGCAUUUUGUACAUGAGGUCAGAGUUAAUAAGCACCAGGCCCACUACAUGACAAAGUGAGAAUUACCCAUUUGCAGAGAUGUAGAAAUGUCAUUUAUAAUUCAGGUCUUUCAAGGGAAGGAUAAUUGUUCAAUUUUGCACUGCUGUAUGAGAGAAAACAAAAGCAGGUUAUGUGUUUGUGUGCUCUGCGCUUUUUGGCUUUAUGUAGUAUUGCUUUAUAAAUUACUCCAGGUUUUUGGGGGAUUGAAAUCCACCUGAUACCAUAAAACACUGCCUAUAAAGCAAUGCUGCGAUAGCCAUUGGCUUUUGUGGAAGUGCUAUUCUUGCUCCAGACUUUCUCCAUGGCCCUGGUCACGCUGU